UACGUAGGGUGCAAGCGUUGUCCGGAUUUAUUGGGCGUAAAGAGCUCGUAGGCGGUUUUGAAAGUCAGGUGUGAAACCUCCAGGCUCAACCUGGAGACGCCACUUGAUACUUCAAUGACUUGAGUACGGUAGGGGUAAGCGGAAUUCCUGGUGUAGCGGUGAAAUGCACAGAUAUCAGGAGGAACACCGAUGGCGAAGGCAGCUUACUGGGCCGAUACUGACGCUGAGGAGCGAAAGCGUGGGGAGCGAACAGG
This 254-nucleotide ribosomal RNA is filed under the name uncultured bacterium. RNAcentral describes it as "partial 16S ribosomal RNA". It matches the Rfam family "Bacterial small subunit ribosomal RNA", at positions 524 to 776 of the family's 1533-position model. The record is from RNAcentral.